AUCCGUCACCUGACACGGCCCUACCAGGAACAGCCGCGCUCCCGCGGAUUCUGGUGCUGCUCGCGUCCCCGCUCCCCUAUUCCCCUUAUUUUAUUCCUGGCUCCCCUCGUCGAAAGUCUUCCAUUCUUCAAACUAGAUUAUUUAAAAAUGAAAAAGGAAGAAAGGAAAGCGAGGUCAUCUCAUUGCUCUAUCCGCCAAUCAGGAGGCUGAAUGUCAGUUUUGAACUAAAAGCCGCUCCGCUCCUCUUCUAGAUUUGGAAAACAAGCGAAAUUAAACUAAACCGCUGCACGCCUCUGACGCGACAUCUGGACACGGCGCGGCGCUGGCGCUGCCGGAGCUGUCGACCCGGCCUGGCGCCGGACUAGUGUCCCUUUUGAUGAGAAGAAUAAGCCUCAUUCUGAUUCAACAGCAGAGAUCAAAGAAAAGACUUCUGUUUUCUGGCCACCAGAUAUAUGUUAUCUGUGCUUAAAGAAUUGAAAAACACACAUCAAAGGAGAAUUUUCUUGGAAAGAGAGGGUUCAAGCAUCACUGUUAGGUGUGCUGGAAUCCUUUCCCGAGUCAGUACUGCUUUCUAGAAGAAAACCGGGGAGAUCUAUUUGGAAUGUAUCUAACUCCAAAGAAACCAUCAGAGGUAACAGUAGAGACGGGGUUUCACCAUGUUGGCCAGACUGGUCUUGAACUCUCGACCUCGUGAUUCGCCCGCCUCGGCCUCCCAAAGUGCUGGGAUUACAGGUGUGAGACACCACACCCGGCGGAUAGAGAGAAUUUUGACAGAUUGGCUUCUCUCACAUGGCAAGAAACAUUGCUGCUAGCACUUCCCGAGUUCUACGUUCUACAACAUCCACCACUGCUAUGUCUCACAGUCCAGACUUGGAGUACAAGUAAUAAGAAGAAUAAAACUUAAUCCCUUAAGUAGAUUCACCAUAAGUUAGCUCAGAGCAAUUCCAGUGCAAGUAUGGUCUGUGAUCCAGUAGUAUCUUACAGACAGCAAGUUGAACAUUGUGGGAUGCAUGAGCUAUUGAGGCCUUUGCAGCUUUCUGCUACAUGGAGGCUAGGGCCAGAGUCAAGAUUUAUGCUUUGCAGCACACUGGUCAGCUGUUUUUGCAAAUCAGAUUAAAUGAUUUUUAAAUGAGGCUGAGAGCAUGGGAGAUACUAAUGUGUGUUUCCUUGUGAGCUACUGCAUAAGUUAGGAAAUUGAAAUACAGAAAGAUGAAAAGUGAUUUGCCCAAGCAUAUAGAUCAAAGCUGUGGCAGA
This 1254-nucleotide long non-coding RNA is filed under the name Homo sapiens (human). Its description in RNAcentral is "non-protein coding CDKN2B-AS1:47". The stretch from base 373 to 516 matches the Rfam family "CDKN2B antisense RNA 1 convserved region 3". The record is from RNAcentral. Lineage: Eukaryota; Metazoa; Chordata; Mammalia; Primates; Hominidae.